CUUUUUGUAUUCUUCGAUGUCGGCUCUUCCUACUCAUUGCCUCGCAGCUGGGCCGAAGUGUAGGAUUGUUCAUCCACCAACAGGGAACGUGAGCUGGGUUAGACCGUCGUGAGACAGGUUAGUUUUACCCUACUGAUGAAGUCGUUGCCGCGACAGUAGUCCAAUUUAGUACGAGAGGAACCGUUGGUCCGCAUAAUUGGCAAUUUCCGUUGACUGAAACGUCAGUGCGGAGAAGCUACCAUGCGUCGGAUUAAGGCUGAACGCCUCUAAGCCCCGAAUCCAUGCUGAAAAGCGGUGAUAAUUGAGCUCCCUUGAUGCGAACGCGAAUACGCAUAGACCGUCUCUCGGGGCGGUCCAGAUCAUAACAUGGCUGCGGCUCUGCCCCGCGCCGAACACGUGCGCGGGGAGGCGAGGCCGAACACAAGUUGAAAUAUUGAGGGAGACAAAUCCUUUGCAG
RNAcentral lists this ribosomal RNA (457 nucleotides) under uncultured eukaryote. RNAcentral describes it as "eukaryotic LSU rRNA". It matches the Rfam family "Eukaryotic large subunit ribosomal RNA", at positions 2866 to 3310 of the family's 3401-position model. The record is from RNAcentral.